Amblyraja radiata (thorny skate) is the source of this 174-nucleotide long non-coding RNA. RefSeq lists it as uncharacterized. The transcript has 3 exons. NCBI's taxonomy places the organism in Eukaryota, Metazoa, Chordata, Chondrichthyes, Rajiformes, Rajidae. The record is from RefSeq and is a predicted model, not a curated record.
UCUCCCAGAUGCACUAGAGGACAGAGGAUCUAAGGGGUGAUGGAGGAACUAAAGGGAAUCAACAUUAGCCAGGAAAUGGUAUUAGGUAAACUGUUGGGACUGAAGGCAGAUAAAUCCCCAGGGCCUGAUGGUAUGCAUCCCGGAGUACUCAAGGAGGUGGCCAUAGAAAUCGUG